GUGACAGAGCAAGACCCUGUCUCUAAAAAAAAAAAAAAAGAGAGAGAGAGAGAAUACAGGAUAACAUCAUGAAAACUUCCUAAAAUACUGAGGAGUUGUCCAAGGAAUGUUAGGUCUAUAAGCAGUAGCAGAGUAGAAUUGCAGCCAACAGAGUAACUGAGGGUGAGUGGUAAAUCUAAAGCUGGCUGUAAGGAGGCAGCAGGGAAUAAAAUGCCAAAAGCAGCAGAUCCUCUAUUUGUAUCUCUAUUCGUAUCUCAGCUGAGGAGGGCGACCAGAUGCAUGAAAACAACUGACCAAGAGCCUGGAAAGAGAACAUUAGGUUGUUUCUUCCUCCCCACAUGCAAGGGAAAUGGUCAUAGUCUUAGAAAUAGAUUGGAAUAGAUAUUCUCUGCUCACCAUCUACCACCCCAUAAUACCGGCACUGAGCAUCUGUUUUGGUGAUUUGCUAAGGGUCAAUUAAGCUUUAGAAGCUCUUAGCAUAAAAAUAUGAUGAGUCCUCCACGUUAGUGAUCAGAAUAAGACCUAAAGAGUGAAGCACAACUUGCAGGAAUGCUGAAAUCAAAAUUGCUUUUUUCUAGAUGUUUUGAUUGCUAAAACCUGUGUGAUUUCACGAAGCUUAACUUUGCUCAUUGGCAUGGGGUUGGUGGCUCAGCUUUGCUAGUGUCUGUGCCCAAGCUGAGUCGGCCUGCUGGUUUAUCUACCGUGGACGUGUCCAGAUCCAGAAGCUGGAAAUGGCAGAUGGAGAGGGGACAGCACUCAUAAGGCUUGCACAGGUUCACUGUGGAAAGACUUUCUGAAUCCAUUUCCCUCCGAAGGGGCCACAGAUCCUAGGCCUCAGCACCCCUAGGCAGGCGGUAGCCCUCCUUCUCACCAGGGGCUGCUGCAUUGGAGCCGUGGAAGUGCCCUGGUGGUCACUUUGCAGUUUAACUUCCAGGCUGCACAGUAACACCACUGGAGGGAAAAUGUCUGUGUUUGAAGUAAUCAUAGGCUUUCUCCUCUAAUACCAGCCUGCCCUGCCAACGUGCCAGCAGCACAAAGGGCCCCACUAUUUAUCCUCCAUCACAGAGUAAGUGGCCUAUCCCCCCGCCGCUUGGCUCCAAGCUCCCUGUCUGGACAGGACACAGCUGGGCUUUCAUCUAAGGAGGGGAGAACUCCAGCUGAUUACUUUUGUUUGGCCUUCACUGAAGACAACAGAGCAGGAGGUACUUUUGCAUUUUGUCUUGUGGUGAAAGUCCCAAUGUGGGGUAACUCAAGAAGAUUUUCUCCUCAAGCAAAGGCUAACUCGUGGGGAAGAAUCACAAUUUUUUAAAAAUGACCAUUAAGAAGAUCAGCCAGAAUUUUAUGCAGAAAACAUGUAUUACUUGCAUCAUCAGAAAAAUAAAACUGCAUUAACUUAAAGAGGAAAAAAGAGGAAAUUAUCUGAAUAUUUUAAGCAAUUAUCUUAAGGAUAAAUUGGGUUUUCUCCUCACUCUCUCAAUGGCAGUCUCCUAUAACCUAAUGGCCCCAACUUUCACCUGUAAACUGGAGUUCCCAAAAUUUAUAUCCUCACACCCAUCUUUCAUAUAAGCCUCCAACUUACAUAUACCCAACUGACUACUUGGCAUCUCACUUUAUGUAUAUCACAACCUCUUCACAUUUAACACCUCAAAUACUGAAAUUCUUUCUUCUUUCAUGAUCUUCCCCCAAUUUUUACCUCCUUCUAGAUUCUUUCCUUCUAGAUUCUUGCUUUUACCUCCUUCUAGAUUCCUUCCAUACAAUCAAUUAUCAUUCCCAUUGUUCAAGUUACCCUAUGUCUCCUCUUUUCCUUCUUCCUUUAUCCUAUCAAUUUAUCUUAUUAUAACAGCUAACUUUUACUGAGCAUAAAUUCUGUGCCAGAUAUUAUUCUAAUUGCUUUAUACGUACUAUUACAUUUAAUCCUCACAACUCCAAUAAAUAAGUGCUAUUAUAACCCCCACUUUACAGAUAAAGAAACAGAAGUACAGAGAUGUUUUAUAAUUCUCUAUAUAAUGUCAUAAAAAUAGGCUAGUAGGAGAUCAAUGAUUUGGAUCCAGGCUGAUUUGCUCCAGAGCCUAGGCUCUUAACCUCAAUGCUAUACUGCUUUCUAAAAUUAUUGUGUAUUUAUAUAAAUUUAAAUGUGUGCAUUUUCAUCCCAUAGAUACUACCUAAAGUUCUGACCAUGAUGUAGGUAGAUAAUUCAUCCUUCAGAAUUAAGUUUCUAAUGCACAAAUGUUUUCUUGUCACCAUCCACUUAAUUUCAACGGAUCAUUUUCUGAAUUUGUCAUUUUCAGAGGCGUAUUGCUACAUUUGGGGCAAUGCGUACAUAUGUGGUUUCGUUAGCUCCAGCGGGGGCUAAUCCUCUGACAGAGCCACCUCUCACACGAAACACUGAAUGGAGGCGAUCCCGAGAUGGAUGGAGCAGCAGCAGCGCAGGUUGCUGCAGGACAGGACUAAUGGGAAGAUUGGAUGGGAUAAUGGAUCUCCUAAAGUAUCACACACCUAUAGCAACACGCAAACAAAGGAUACCAAUAAAGUAAUACUAUCGUGAAAGGUAUUAGAAAAUGUGAGGUGCUAUACAAAUACCAGUUAUUACAGAUAAGUACCACAGAAUUUGGAGUGCACCUAUGUUGAGCCCUAGCUAUUUCACUUACUAUAAAAUCAAUGUAUCCUCACUGUGUCUUCAGUGAAAUGUAAAAUGGAGUCUGUAUAGGGGUUAGGAACACAGACUCUAGAGUUUGACUGCCUGAGUUUAAAUACCAACUCUACUAUUUACUAGCUGUGUGACCUUAGGUAAAUUACUGAAUCCUUCUGUGUCUCAAUUUUCUCAUUAGUAAAAUGGGAUCAAUGUGAAGAUUAAAUGAGUUAAUGCAUAUAAAGCCCGUAGAAGAGUGCCUCUCUCAAAGUAACCCUAUAUACAUGUUUGCUGUUUCAACUGCAUAAUAAUAUUAAAAGAUUUUUUUCAAUCUUU
Molecule: long non-coding RNA, 2965 nt
Filed under: Homo sapiens (human)
Lineage: Eukaryota; Metazoa; Chordata; Mammalia; Primates; Hominidae
Description: HSALNT0327691
Source: RNAcentral